CGGAGGAUCCAAGCGUUAUCCGGAAUCAUUGGGUUUAAAGGGUCCGUAGGCGGUUUAGUAAGUCAGUGGUGAAAGCCCAUCGCUCAACGGUGGAACGGCCAUUGAUACUGCUAAACUUGAAUUAUUAGGAAGUAACUAGAAUAUGUAGUGUAGCGGUGAAAUGCUUAGAGAUUACAUGGAAUACCAAUUGCGAAGGCAGGUUACUACUAAUGGAUUGACGCUGAUGGGCGAAAGCGUGGGUAGCGAACAGGAUUAGAUACCCUGGUAGUCCACGCCGUAAACGAUGGAUACUAGCUGUUGGGGGCAACUUCAGUGGCUAAGCGAAAGUGAUAAGUAUCCCACCUGGGGAGUACGUUCGCAAGAAUG
Molecule: ribosomal RNA, 366 nt
Filed under: uncultured organism
Description: bacterial SSU rRNA
Rfam family: Bacterial small subunit ribosomal RNA
Source: RNAcentral